AACGAACGCUGGCGGCAUGCCUAACACAUGCAAGUCGAACGAGACCUUCGGGUCUAGUGGCGCACGGGUGCGUAACGCGUGGGAACCUGCCCUUAGGUUCGGAAUAACUCCCCGAAAGGGGUGCUAAUACCGGAUAGUGUCUACUGACCAAAGAUUUAUCGCCUUUGGAUGUGCCCGCGUUGGAUUAGCUAGUUGGUAGGGUAAAAGCCUACCAAGGCGACGAUCCAUAGCUGGUCUGAGAGGAUGAUCAGCCACACUGGGACUGAGACACGGCCCAGACUCCUACGGGAGGCAGCAGUGGGGAAUAGUGGACAAUGGGCGAAAGCCUGAUCCAGCAAUGCCGCGUGAGUGAUGAAGGCAUUAGGGUUGUAAAGCUCUUUUACCCGGGAUGAUAAUGACAGUACCGGGAGAAUAAGCUCCGGCUAACUCCGUG
Molecule: ribosomal RNA, 433 nt
Filed under: uncultured bacterium
Lineage: Bacteria
Description: partial 16S ribosomal RNA
Rfam family: Bacterial small subunit ribosomal RNA
Source: RNAcentral